CUUGGUCGAAAGGUGGGUACAGUGACUUGAAGAACAUUGGUCGUUCAGCUAAACGGCAAAAAAACAAGAAGGGAGCAUAUAAAUACCCACAUCAGAUUCAAGCUUCUGUGAAAAAGCUGCAGCGAUAGAGGACACAACAAGAGGGAAAGUUCCGCCAACAAGGCUCAACUACAAGGAGCUUGCAGAGCUAAGUCCACUCCUGUUUCCUGAUUAAGAGGUGAUAACCACUACCAUUCUCAACUAUCUCCUGACAUGAACUGAAGCCACAUCUCAUGUGCCCACUCAUCCACCGGCACAUUGAAUGUUUCCUCCCCAAGCAUUUCAAAUCCUGUCCUGCACUGGUCAAGCCUCUGAACACCUCAACUCAUGCC
This is a long non-coding RNA of Oncorhynchus kisutch (coho salmon), 371 nucleotides long. RefSeq lists it as uncharacterized. NCBI's taxonomy places the organism in Eukaryota, Metazoa, Chordata, Actinopteri, Salmoniformes, Salmonidae. The transcript has 3 exons. The record is from RefSeq and is a predicted model, not a curated record.